This 253-nucleotide ribosomal RNA is filed under the name uncultured bacterium. RNAcentral's name for it is "partial 16S ribosomal RNA". It matches the Rfam family "Bacterial small subunit ribosomal RNA", at positions 524 to 776 of the family's 1533-position model. The record is from RNAcentral.
UACGUAGGGUGCGAGCGUUAUUCGGAUUCACUGGGCGUAAAGGGUGCGCAGGCGGCCGUGUGUGUGAGGCGUGAAAGCCCGGGGCUUAACCCCGGAAUUGCACCUCAAACUACAUGGCUAGAGCAUUGGAGAGGGUAGCAGAAUUCACGGUGUAGCAGUGAAAUGCGUAGAUAUCGUGAGGAAUACCAGAGGCGAAGGCGGCUACCUGGACAAUUGCUGACGCUCAGGCACGAAAGCGUGGGGAGCAAAAGGG